RNAcentral lists this ribosomal RNA (749 nucleotides) under uncultured Capnocytophaga sp. RNAcentral's name for it is "bacterial SSU rRNA". It matches the Rfam family "Bacterial small subunit ribosomal RNA", at positions 28 to 776 of the family's 1533-position model. The record is from RNAcentral. Lineage: Bacteria; Pseudomonadati; Bacteroidota; Flavobacteriia; Flavobacteriales; Flavobacteriaceae.
GAUGAACGCUAGCGGCAGGCCUAACACAUGCAAGUCGAGGGAGAGGUUAUCUUCGGGUAACCAAAACCGGCGCACGGGUGCGUAACGCGUAUACAAUCUGCCUUUCACAUAGGGAUAGCCCGAAGAAAUUUGGAUUAAUACCUAAUGGUAUAUAAGAGCGGCAUCGUUUUUAUAUUAAAGCUACGGUGGUGAAAGAUGAGUAUGCGUUCUAUUAGCUAGUUGGAGAGGUAACGGCUCCCCAAGGCGACGAUAGAUGGGGGUUCUGAGAGGGAUGUCCCCCACACUGGUACUGAGAUACGGACCAGACUCCUACGGGAGGCAGCAGUGAGGAAUAUUGGACAAUGGUCGGAAGACUGAUCCAGCCAUGCCGCGUGCAGGAUGAAGGUCCUAUGGAUUGUAAACUGCUUUUGUAAGGGAAGAAUAAGGAGUACGUGUACUUUGAUGACGGUACCUUACGAAUAAGCAUCGGCUAACUCCGUGCCAGCAGCCGCGGUAAUACGGAGGAUGCGAGCGUUAUCCGGAAUCAUUGGGUUUAAAGGGUCCGUAGGCGGGCUGAUAAGUCAGAGGUGAAAGCGCUUAGCUCAACUAAGCAACUGCCUUUGAAACUGUCAGUCUUGAAUGAUUGUGAAGUAGUUGGAAUGUGUAGUGUAGCGGUGAAAUGCUUAGAUAUUACACAGAACACCGAUAGCGAAGGCAUAUUACUAACAAUUUAUUGACGCUGAUGGACGAAAGCGUGGGGAGCGAACAGG